This 337-nucleotide unclassified non-coding RNA is filed under the name soil metagenome. RNAcentral's name for it is "partial contains 5.8S ribosomal RNA, internal transcribed spacer 2, and large subunit ribosomal RNA". The stretch from base 1 to 120 matches the Rfam family "5.8S ribosomal RNA", at positions 35 to 154 of the family's 154-position model. The record is from RNAcentral.
GAUGAAGAACGUAGCGAAAUGCGAUAAGUAGUGUGAAUUGCAGAAUUCAGUGAAUCAUCGAAUCUUUGAACGCACAUUGUGCCCCUUGGUAUUCCAUGGGGCAUGCCUGUUCGAGCGUCAUUUGUACCUUCAAGCUCUGCUUGGUGUUGGGUGUUUGUCUCGCCUCUGCGUGUAGACUCGCCUCAAAACAAUUGGCAGCCGGCGUAUUGAUUUCGGAGCGCAGUACAUCUCGCGCUUUGCACUCAUAACGACGACGUCCAAAAGUACAUUUUUACACUCUUGACCUCGGAUCAGGUAGGGAUACCCGCUGAACUUAAGCAUAUCAAUAAGCGGAGGA